UACGGAAGGCAGCAGUGGGGAAUAUUGCACAAUGGGCGAAAGCCUGAUGCAGCUAUGCCGCGUGUAUGAAGAAGGCCUUAGGGUUGUAAAGUACUUUCAUCGGGGAGGAAAAACAAAACUAAUAAUUUUAUUUCUUGACGUUACCCGAAAAAGAAGCACCGGCUAACUCCGUGCCAGCAGCCGCGGUAAUACGGAGGGUGCUAGCGUUAAUCAGAAUUACUGGGCGUAAAGAGCACGUAGGUUGGUUUUUUUAAGUCAGAUGUGAAAUCCCUGGGCUUAACCUAGGAACUGCAUUUUGAAACUGAAAUACUAGAGUAUCGUAGAGGGAGGUAGAAUUCUAGGUGUAGGCGGUGAAAUGCGUAGAUAUCUGGAGGAAUACCUGUGGCGAAAGGCGGCCUCCUAAACGAAUACUGACACUGAGGGUGCGAAAGCGGUGGGGAGCAAAACGAGGAUUAGAUACC
RNAcentral lists this ribosomal RNA (461 nucleotides) under uncultured bacterium. RNAcentral describes it as "bacterial SSU rRNA". It matches the Rfam family "Bacterial small subunit ribosomal RNA", at positions 340 to 786 of the family's 1533-position model. The record is from RNAcentral.